GUCUGUUCCAUUAUUCAUCUUUCAGGACAAAAUUAAAGAGUUCGGUGACAAACAUCCAACACAAAACUCAGCAGAGGCCGAUGUUGAACUUCCUCCACCAAGCAUGCAGAAGCUCUCCUCUGACCUUCGACCUCUCAUGUUCUGGAUGUCCAAUGCCACGGAGCUCCUCAACUUUUUUCAGGUCAAAGUUGAAGCCAUGGAAAAAGAAUGGGAAUUUGAAGCCCCAGGUGACCCAGUGCUCUCAGCUGAUAUGGACAUCUGUUCUGAGGCGCUGGCACAGCUGGAUGAUGUCAUUAUGCACACCUUUCAGCAGUGUG
This is a long non-coding RNA of Sinocyclocheilus anshuiensis, 317 nucleotides long. RefSeq lists it as uncharacterized. The record is from RefSeq and is a predicted model, not a curated record. Lineage: Eukaryota; Metazoa; Chordata; Actinopteri; Cypriniformes; Cyprinidae. The transcript is spliced from 3 exons.